UUUCAUUGUGUUAUAUAAUAAAAAUAUAACUUACAAAGUUAGUGUGUUAAAUCCGAAAAUUGUGCUUUGUUAAGACGAUGAAAUGUACAGCACGUACACCACUAAGCAGCGGAACAAUGGAACGAUAGCGGCCUUUGCAGCAGUACGAAGUCGACAGACCAACUUGAUGAGCUACGGAGCCAUACCUUUAAGGAUCCGAAGGGGAGGCGGCAAGUUGUUCCAGCACUUCGUUGCUGCAUAGCGGAGACUACCAGAAGUGCUGCUGAUCGAUGAUGAGGCACACUAAGCAUACAAGACGACGCUCUCGUGGGAUAUUAUUGUCCAACUCAAGUUACUAUACAGAAAUAAUCAUGCUUUAUUUUGAAUAACACCAAAUAAGCGAGUUGUAUCUAAAUCAUCCGUGCGUUAUUAAGGUCACAUGUGCGUGAGGUGGAAUUUGGAAGCAGCACCUGAGACAUGCAUUUUGUACGCGUUGUAUAAGGUUUCGCAAGCGAGAAGUCAAGGUCCUGACGGCAUCAGCAUUAUUAAGUUUAGACAAUAAGAGAUUAACACAAAAUUUGAUUCGCAUGUCAUUACUAAGAACAUCUCUUAUCGUAUAGAAAACUUUUUGUCUGUAAAAACAAUUAUGAACUGUA
Long non-coding RNA from Vanessa tameamea, 635 nucleotides. RefSeq lists it as uncharacterized. The record is from RefSeq and is a predicted model, not a curated record. The transcript is spliced from 3 exons. NCBI's taxonomy places the organism in Eukaryota, Metazoa, Arthropoda, Insecta, Lepidoptera, Nymphalidae.